Heterocephalus glaber (naked mole-rat) is the source of this 725-nucleotide long non-coding RNA. RefSeq lists it as uncharacterized. The record is from RefSeq and is a predicted model, not a curated record. NCBI's taxonomy places the organism in Eukaryota, Metazoa, Chordata, Mammalia, Rodentia, Bathyergidae.
AGUCACCUUCCUGCCCAUGAGCGCACGCCGCUUUUCAGCCAUCCUGAUAUAAACCAUCACCUCUUCUGCAAUGCAGAACAGAAACUUGAAAGUCUAGACACAGAUCAGUUUCUCCAGCUCCGGAUGCAGGGCACGAGCAACUCCCUUCACCCACAGAGGAGUCGGAGUGCAUGGAUUCCAUCCUGCGGGGGCCACAGGGACCUGGGCAGAAGGCAGAACGGGAGGAAAUUGCACCAGGAGGGCAUGGCCAGGGCUUAUCCAAAACAAGGAGCCACGCCCUGGCUGCCACAGAAUCACCCUGAAAACCCCAACAGGUGGAGACAAGCCAGCAUCCUAGGUAUCCUUCAAAUUCAUCUGUCACUGAGGGAGCUGCUGAGAUGAGCAGAGCGGAAAACCCAGAUGAUAAAGCCAAGCUAGCCACGUGCUGUCCUACCAAUGAGGUGUGAUAAAAACUACGACAAACGCUGCUGCCGAGCGCCACCCAACAGAAAGGCAGUGUGUAAAAACACGAUGCUGUGUCCUCCUCUACUUUACCCGCCUUAAUGCACUGUGCAACUCCUGGAUCUUCCCCAAAGUCAAACUGACAUGAAAGGGAAACAUUUUGAAUUGAUUCAUGACAUCAAGGUAGCCACAACAGCGCAACUACAGAAGAGUAUUCUGAGGAAGUGUUUUGAGGGGGGAAGGUGGAUUUUAGUGUAAUAAAAUUUUUAAAUUUAAACAUUCAA